CCUCUAUUUCCUGACAUGCGUGUGGAUGUUGUUCAGUUCUUUUGCGUGUAAUGUACGGAGGUAGAAAAGUGCCAGUGCUAUGUUUUCGGUGCUAGUAUGUGUUCAUCGUCUACUGAUUCUAUCCUCAAUCACUGGGACAUGC
Molecule: small nucleolar RNA, 142 nt
Organism: Engraulis encrasicolus (European anchovy)
Lineage: Eukaryota; Metazoa; Chordata; Actinopteri; Clupeiformes; Engraulidae
Product: small nucleolar RNA SNORA57
Exons: 1
Source: RefSeq, a predicted model, not a curated record